CCCAGAAAGCUUUGUGCACAAUCUCUCUUACUUUUUUUUCCAAGCUGUGUUCUGGUAGCUCAGCUGGUUUGAUCUGGAAGUCUCCAUUAACAACAAUUUCGUGUGCUAGUGCCAUGUUUGUUACUCCUUUAGCUGUUUCCAUUAACUCUUCUACUGACACAGGCCGAGGAGGGCUAGACUUUGGUGUAUCAUCUCUGUGUGAACCUGGAACACUCUGCUGUAUUCUCUUCCUGAUAGAGUUGUCCAAGCUCUCUUGGUCAUCCUCCAAAGCACUCAACUUUUCUUCACUUGAAUGCGGCUUGUGGGGAUUCUGAGACAUUUUCAGUUGUUUCUCCGGCGCACAGCGAUCCCGCCGCACCGCCGCCACAGCGCAGGGGCGGGCCGGGCCUCCGGCAGCCGUUCGCCCUACG
RNAcentral lists this long non-coding RNA (410 nucleotides) under Gallus gallus (chicken). The record is from RNAcentral. Lineage: Eukaryota; Metazoa; Chordata; Aves; Galliformes; Phasianidae.